AUUGAACGCUGGCGGCAGGCCUAACACAUGCAAGUCGAGCGGAUGAAGGGAGCUUGCUCCUGGAUUCAGCGGCGGACGGGUGAGUAAUGCCUAGGAAUCUGCCUGGUAGUGGGGGAUAACGUCCGGAAACGGGCGCUAAUACCGCAUACGUCCUGAGGGAGAAAGUGGGGGAUCUUCGGACCUCACGCUAUCAGAUGAGCCUAGGUCGGAUUAGCUAGUUGGUGGGGUAAAGGCCUACCAAGGCGACGAUCCGUAACUGGUCUGAGAGGAUGAUGAGUCACACUGGAACUGAGACACGGUCCAGACUCCUGAGGGAGGCAGCAGUGGGGAAUAUUGGACAAUGGGCGAAAGGCUGAUCCAGCCAUGCCGCGUGUGUGAAGAAGGUCUUCGGAUUGUAAAGCACUUUAAGUUGGGAGGAAGGGCAGUAAGUUAAUACCUUGCUGUUUUGACGUUACCAACAGAAUAAGCACCGGCUAACUUCGUG
RNAcentral lists this ribosomal RNA (484 nucleotides) under uncultured bacterium. RNAcentral describes it as "partial 16S ribosomal RNA". It matches the Rfam family "Bacterial small subunit ribosomal RNA", at positions 30 to 507 of the family's 1533-position model. The record is from RNAcentral.